ACUCUCGGCAACGGAUAUCUCGGCUCUCACAUCGAUGAAGAACGUAGCGAACUGCGAUACUUGGUGUGAAUUGCAGAAUCCCGUGAACCAUCGAGUCUUUGAACGCAAGUUGCGCCCGAAGCCAUUAGGCCGAGGGCACGUCUGCCUGGGCGUCACGC
This 158-nucleotide ribosomal RNA is filed under the name Gentiana arethusae. RNAcentral's name for it is "5.8S ribosomal RNA". It matches the Rfam family "5.8S ribosomal RNA". From Rfam's summary of the family: 5.8S ribosomal RNA (5.8S rRNA) is a component of the large subunit of the eukaryotic ribosome. It is transcribed by RNA polymerase I as part of the 45S precursor that also contains 18S and 28S rRNA. The record is from RNAcentral. Lineage: Eukaryota; Viridiplantae; Streptophyta; Magnoliopsida; Gentianales; Gentianaceae.